CUAACGCACACUUCUGUGGUCUCAAUAUUAUGGGAAAAUUCAAAUGAAUCUAAACUAAUAAAGGAAAUGAAUCAGUGAUUUUGAAACUGAAAUAAAUAAGAAAAUCACCUUCCCACCCACCCAAAGUAUUUUUUUAUGAUCUAAAAGAAUUCGAGGAUAGCAACUAGAUUUACCUGAAUAUCUGACAUCAGUGUUAGAAGUAGGGAUUAAACCUUGUAAAAAUAAAAAUAAAAUAAAAUAAAAAAACAGCACAACAGCCAGAUUUUAACAAAAAUGUGAUGAAAGAAAACAGUCAAACUUUAAAAGAAUCAACGGAAAGAACUGAAAUGACCUGAAUAAAAACGUUGUUAUGUGGUUAUGUUUUUUGUUAUACAAUGAAAGUGAACAAAAAGUGUGUUUMAUGGCCUUGUGUGUUUGGAAUUAUUCAAGUAUGUUUGUUACAGUGAGACAAAGGUUCGGAGACACUCCGUUUCUGUCUGUGGACGCCUGCAUGCCUUUCCGCCGCCUGGGUGGACGGACCCGGACGUGUGUGUGUGUGUGUGUGUGUGUGUGUGUAUGUGUGUGUGUACCCCUUUUCUUUACCCGUUCAAAAAACAAAACAAAAAAGAACAUUUUUGAUAAGACUUAUCAGGGUGUUUGUCUGGUUUUUCUUCUUCUUCUAAACUGUGAACAAACAUUGACCAACUAGCCAGGAGCAGAAGCUUAAAAAAAAUACAGACAUGUGGUACAGAACGCAGAUAUCGCCAUCUGGGAAAGGCAUUAUCUUCUUUUAGGAUCACACAAGUAAUUGCACUACAAUAAGCACUUAUGUACAGUAUGGUACACCACAGCAAGCACAGGAAUAGCAAACAGGAAGGGAGGAAAGGGGGGAG
This is a long non-coding RNA of Austrofundulus limnaeus, 872 nucleotides long. RefSeq lists it as uncharacterized. Lineage: Eukaryota; Metazoa; Chordata; Actinopteri; Cyprinodontiformes; Rivulidae. The transcript is spliced from 2 exons. The record is from RefSeq and is a predicted model, not a curated record.